AUCAUGCAUUGUUUGCAUUGAUAAUUUAGGUAGAAAAUGUGACAAUCCAAGCUGUCAGGGGAUCUUACGUGACACGAUAAUAAACUUUGGAGAAGACCUUCCAGACAGUGAGUUGACAAGAGGUACAGAAGAAGGUGAAGUAGCAGACCUUUGCUUAGCAAUGGGAUCCAGUCUCACUGUCACUCCAGCGGCCGACAUACCAGAGUGUGUCGCUGAGAGAGGAGAGAAGCUAUAGUUAUAGUUAACCUGCAAAAGACACCAUUGCACAGUAUGGCUGCACUAUGCAUUCAUGCUAAAUGUGAAGAAGUGUCCACAAUGGUAAUGGAGAAGCUUGGACUGCCCAUACCUGAGUUUAGACUUAAGAGAAGAGUCUUCAUUAAAGUGACACAAAGUGCUAAAGGACCUCCUGAGGAACAGGUUUCAUUAUCAAUAGAAGGACGGACAUGUAUGGAUUCUAUUUCUCAUUUCUAACUGGAGUUACAGUGUCUGUGGGUGAAAGACCUCAACAGUUGCAGGAGCCUUUCUUUAUCAGGUUUCCAUGGAGAGCAACAGCUGGUGCCUCAUCUGAUGAAAUGAAGGUUCAGUUGACAUUUCAUUUUCAAGGACAUUACGGUGAACCACCACUUGAUAAAGAACUGAUUAUUAAAAAGGGAGUGAAAGAUAUGCAGCAUAAUUCAGGAACAAGUGAAUGGAGUAUAGAAGAUGAUGUUGCUGCUGCAGUAGUUCCAACUGCAGGUGUAAAGAAACUAACACUCAAGGAAAUUAAAUUGAAGGAAUCAUAACAAUUUUAUAAUAAGAAGGAAUAGAUUUACACUUUUCUUCAAGGUCUGCACUGAUAAUCAUCUCAAAUUCCACAUUCUUUUUUUAGAGACUCAAAGAGAAUUUGUAAUCCAUCUAGACCAAUCUUUGUAUCUUUGAUGUCAAGGCUUUUCAAUUUAUGAUUGGUCUGUAUAAGCUCAGCUAGGGCUGGGACACUUGCUGAAGUGAUAUCAGAACUUUCUGAAAAUGCCAAACUAGAUACUGCAGUAAAUGCACUAGUGAAAUGACACUGUUGUCAUCAAUGGAGCAGUCACACAAUACAAGUGACUCAAGUGACUUUACAAGUGCGCGUGCUUCAAACAUAUUAGUAGUAUGGGAGAGAGAAAGAACAUGUAAUGUUUUGUUUGCACAUAAAAGAUCAGCCAGUGAUUGACAGCUUUUAGAAGUCAAUAAUUGAAAUCAAUUGACAGAAAUGUAAGAGUCGAGUUAGCUUUCAACAAAUGUGCCAGCCUUUUGACCCCUCAUCAUUAAUUAUAUCAUGAGUAAGCAAUAAAUGCAUCAACAUUAAGUUGUCUGUCAUAACGACGGAAAAAUGGUGAGUAAACUCCUUUAAUGGGCUUGAGUGUAUAUUGAGACACUUUACAUAAUGAUCUGUUAAUACAGAUGGUACAAAUGACUUUAAAGGUUACAGUGUCUGUGGGUGAAAGACCUCAACAGUUGCAAGAGCCUUUCUCUACCAGGUUUCCAUGAAGAGCAUCAGCUGGUGCCUCAUCUGAUGAAAUGAAGGCUUAGCUGACGUUUCAUUUUCAAGGACAUUAUGGUGAACCACCACUUGAUAAAGAACUGAUUAUUAAAAAGGGAGUGAAAGGU
RNAcentral lists this unclassified non-coding RNA (1629 nucleotides) under Amphimedon queenslandica. RNAcentral describes it as "uncharacterized LOC109590912, transcript variant X2". Lineage: Eukaryota; Metazoa; Porifera; Demospongiae; Haplosclerida; Niphatidae. The record is from RNAcentral.